AUCGCACGGUCUUUGUACCGGCGACGCAUUUUUCAAAUGUCUGCCUUAUCAACUUUCGAUGGUAGUUUAUAUGCCUACCAUGGUUAUAACGGGUAACGGAGAAUAAGGGUUCGACUCCGGAGAGGGAGCCUGAGAAACGGCUACCACAUCCAAGGAAGGCAGCAGGCGCGCAAAUUACCCAAGCCCAGCACGGGGAGGUAGUGACGAAAA
Molecule: ribosomal RNA, 210 nt
Filed under: Tardigrada environmental sample
Lineage: Eukaryota; Metazoa; Tardigrada
Description: partial 18S ribosomal RNA
Rfam family: Eukaryotic small subunit ribosomal RNA
Source: RNAcentral